RNAcentral lists this transfer RNA (87 nucleotides) under Fibrobacteria bacterium. RNAcentral describes it as "tRNA-Leu". It matches the Rfam family "tRNA". From Rfam's summary of the family: Transfer RNA (tRNA) molecules are approximately 80 nucleotides in length. Their secondary structure includes four short double-helical elements and three loops (D, anti-codon, and T loops). Further hydrogen bonds mediate the characteristic L-shaped molecular structure. tRNAs have two regions of fundamental functional importance: the anti-codon, which is responsible for specific mRNA codon recognition, and the 3' end, to which the tRNAs corresponding amino acid is attached (by aminoacyl-tRNA synthetases). tRNAs cope with the degeneracy of the genetic code in two manners: having more than one tRNA (with a specific anti-codon) for a particular amino acid; and 'wobble' base-pairing, i.e. permitting non-standard base-pairing at the 3rd anti-codon position. The record is from RNAcentral. Lineage: Bacteria; Pseudomonadati; Fibrobacterota; Fibrobacteria.
GCCGAGGUGGUGAAAUUGGUAGACGCGCUGGAUUCAAAAUCCAGUAGGGGCGACCCUGUGGGGGUUCGAUUCCCCCCCCCGGCACCA